AAAUUGAAGAGUUUGAUCAUGGCUCAGAUUGAACGCUGGCGGCAGGCCUAACACAUGCAAGUCGAACGGUAACAGGAAGCAGCUUGCUGCUUUGCUGACGAGUGGCGGACGGGUGAGUAAUGUCUGGGAAACUGCCUGAUGGAGGGGGGUAACUACUGGAAACGGUGGCUAAUACCGCAUAAUGUCGCAAGACCAAAGAGGGGGACCUUCGGGCCUCUUGCCAUCAGAUGUGCCCAGAUGGGAUUAGCUUGUUGGUGAGGUAACGGCUCACCAAGGCGACGAUCCCUAGCUGGUCUGAGAGGAUGACCAGCCACACUGGAACUGAGACACGGUCCAGACUCCUACGGGAGGCAGCAGUGGGGAAUAUUGCACAAUGGGCGCAAGCCUGAUGCAGCCAUGCCGCGUGUAUGAAGAAGGCCUUCGGGUUGUAAAGUACUUUCAGCGGGGAGGAAGGUGUUG
Molecule: ribosomal RNA, 459 nt
Filed under: Salmonella enterica
Lineage: Bacteria; Pseudomonadati; Pseudomonadota; Gammaproteobacteria; Enterobacterales; Enterobacteriaceae
Description: bacterial SSU rRNA
Rfam family: Bacterial small subunit ribosomal RNA
Source: RNAcentral